UUACGGCCACAUCACAUUGAAACACCAGUUCCUGUAUGAUCACUGAAGUUAAGCAAUGUUAAGCCUGGUCAGUUCCUAGAUGGGUAACCGCUUGGGAAUACCAGGUGCUGUAAG
Non-coding RNA from Acanthosepion pharaonis, 114 nucleotides. The record is from the annotation of a GenBank genome assembly. NCBI's taxonomy places the organism in Eukaryota, Metazoa, Mollusca, Cephalopoda, Sepiida, Sepiidae.